CAAUUGCAUUGAAAUAUGAUUUCCUUUGUCCCAGAGGGGAAAUUUGUCUUGGACAAUAAAUGUUGUGUAAUCAUCCUUAUAUGAUCGCUUAUGAAAUAAAGGCGGGGGCACAUUCCAGGAAGGUUAAAGCACAUUACCGAAAUUAUUCCUUGUAAGAACAUAGUUUAUGACAUCACUCUGAGUGGGUGUGGUCUCUUCAAUGCCUGUUUCAGUACAAUGCAUCUCUGGUCUCUUGUACACUGUGCUAUAUGUCAUCAAGUUUUCUUCCUAGAAAUGUUCCUCUGCACAUUACUGUAAAACUGCAGAUGCAGAGAGCUCAAGUUCAAAACCUUAAAACAUGUUGUCAGUGACAGAUAUAGCCUGAGAAAUGUCUCACUUUGGAACACAGAUUUCUCUCUAAAACUCUGAUACACAUCUGCUUUUUAAAUCCUAACCAUUAACCAAUCAAAAUACACCAUAAACAUUCAAACAGUUCAACCCCAUGAAGCCCAGAGGUUGAGGUGACAGAGGCCUACUGGAACUUUGAAAAGCUGAAACACAAUUAGAGUAUCAAAACAAUAAAAACAACUUACUCAGUGUAUUUUUCAAAUACAUCUAAUUUGUUUGUUCACGUCAAAAAUGUCUCUGGGGAGGGCUUCUCACUCAGAAUUUUAAUUGGAAUGUCCGUACUGAGUGCAGAAGAGCGCCACAAGUCGGCCAUUAUGGUAGGGCACGGGACCAUAACAGGAAGUGACUGGGACGUCACAACGUCACCGGUCGACCAUAUUAUGUGUGUAAAACAACAAACACAGCGGCCAUCUUUAGUCCUUUGGUAACAAAGGGGCCAAGGCUGUACUGCCUGAGUAAAUACUGAAGAUGCAUGUAACCAUACCAAAGAGCGAAAUAUACAGAAUGUGUAUCAUGACUUGUACACAUGCAUAUACCAACAAGUACCAACAUAUUAUAGUGGAACAAGACAUGUAAAAGAAUGUAGUCACAUAGUAGCAUGGAGCUAAUAACAUGUUCAGAUUAAACAUACACCAAAUUAACCAUAACUGGCUAUAAGUCCACUUACAUGGUUAGAGACACAGUCAACACCAGCUAGGGAGUGUCCAGAGAAAGGCUUGACCAUGUUAGAAAGGCUUGUCCAUGUUAGAAAGGCUUGACCAUGUUAGAAAGGCUUGUCCAUGUUAGAAAGGCUUGUCCAUGUUAGAAAGGAUAGUUCAUGUUAGAAAGGCUUGACCAUGUUAGAAAGGCUUGACCAUGUUAGAAAGGCUUGUCCAUGUUAGAAAGGCUUGACCAUGUUAGAAAGGCUUGUCCAUGUUAGAAAGGCUUGACCAUGUUAGAAAGGCUUGACCAUGUUAGAAAGGCUUGUCCAUGUUAGAAAGGCUUGUCCAUGUUAGAAAGGCUUGUCCAUGUUAGAAAGGCUUGACCAUGUUAGAAAGGCUUGUCCAUGUUAGAAAGGCUUGACCAUGUUAGAAAGGCUUGUCCAUGUUAGAAAGGCUUGACCAUGUUAGAAAGGCUUGUCCAUGUUAGAAAGGCUUGUCCAUGUUAGAAAGGCUUGACCAUGUUAGAAAGGCUUGACCAUGUUAGAAAGGUCUAUUGUGAGUUGAGGUGGUGCAGAGUUCUUCUGAGCUGUUGUCUCUCUGUCUACACCUCUGGAACCAACUGAAGUAGCUUUCAGACAAAACACACACGCACACGUUCAGAGA
RNAcentral lists this long non-coding RNA (1691 nucleotides) under Salmo salar (Atlantic salmon). RNAcentral describes it as "lncRNA (ENSSSAG00000113598.1)". Lineage: Eukaryota; Metazoa; Chordata; Actinopteri; Salmoniformes; Salmonidae. The record is from RNAcentral.